This 450-nucleotide ribosomal RNA is filed under the name uncultured Glomus. Its description in RNAcentral is "SSU rRNA". It matches the Rfam family "Eukaryotic small subunit ribosomal RNA", at positions 569 to 1024 of the family's 1831-position model. The record is from RNAcentral. Lineage: Eukaryota; Fungi; Glomeromycota; Glomeromycetes; Glomerales; Glomeraceae.
AGCAGCCGCGGUAAUUCCAGCUCCAAUAGCGUAUAUUAAAGUUGUUGCAGUUAAAAAGCUCGUAGUUGAACUUCGGGGUCAGUAGGUUGGUCGUGCCACUGGUAUGCACUGGCCUCACUGAUUCCUCCCUCUUGUAGAACCGUAAUGCCAUUAAGUUGGUGUUGCGGGGAAACAGGACUGUUACUUUGAAAAAUUAGAGUGUUUAAAGCAGGCUAACGCUUGAAUACAUUAGCAUGGAAUAAUGAAAUAGGACGAUCGAUCCUAUUUUGUUGGUUUCUAGGAUUGACGUAAUGAUUAAUAGGGAUAGUUGGGGGCAUUAGUAUUCAAUUGUCAGAGGUGAAAUUCUUGGAUUUAUUGAAGACUAACUACUGCGAAAGCAUUUGCCAAGGAUGUUUUCAUUAAUCAAGAACGAAAGUUAGGGGAUCGAAGACGAUCAGAUACCGUCGUAGU